AAAAAAAAAAAAAAAAACAAAAUUGGUCUUCUUCCAUUCUUGCCGCCUCCCUUCCCUCUCCCAAAGCUCCCUCACCAAAACUCCAUUAAAGCUCAUUUUUGAGCUUGAAGACAACCAAAUCCCACCAUAGAAAAUUCAAUUAUCAUAACUAAACUUUGUUUAGGCAAUUAGAAAAGAAGGUUCAAGGAGAAAGAAAGAAGAAAGGAA
RNAcentral lists this unclassified non-coding RNA (207 nucleotides) under Hevea brasiliensis (rubber tree). The record is from RNAcentral. Lineage: Eukaryota; Viridiplantae; Streptophyta; Magnoliopsida; Malpighiales; Euphorbiaceae.